CCAGACUCCUACGGGAGGCAGCAGUAGGGAAUCUUCGGCAAUGGACGAAAGUCUGACCGAGCAACGCCGCGUGAGUGAAGAAGGUUUUCGGAUCGUAAGACUCUGUUGGUAGAGAAGAACGUUGGUGAGAGUGGAAAGCUCAUCAAGUGACGGUAACUACCCAGAAAGGGACGGCUAACUACGUGCCAGCAGCCGCGGUAAUACGUAGGUCCCGAGCGUUGUCCGGAUUUAUUGGGCGUAAAGCGAGCGCAGGUGGUUUAUUAAGUCUGGUGUAAAAGGCAGUGGCUCAACCAUUGUAUGCAUUGGAAACUGGUAGACUUGGGUGCAGGAGAGGAGAGUGGAAUUCCAUGUGUAGCGGUGAAGUGCGUAGAUAUAUGGAGGAACACCGGUGGCGAAAGCGGCUCUCUGGCCUGUAACUGACACUGAGGCUCGAAAGCGUGGGGAGCAAACAGGAUUAGAUACCCUGGUGGUCCACGCCGUAAACGAUGAGUGCUAGAUGUAGGGAGCUAUAAGUUCUCUGUAUCGCAGCUAACGCAAUAAGCACUCCGCCUGGGGAGUACGACCGCAAGGUUGAAACUCAAAGGAAUUGACGGGGGCCCGCACAAG
RNAcentral lists this ribosomal RNA (606 nucleotides) under uncultured bacterium. Its description in RNAcentral is "bacterial SSU rRNA". It matches the Rfam family "Bacterial small subunit ribosomal RNA", at positions 331 to 929 of the family's 1533-position model. The record is from RNAcentral.